GAUGAACGCUGGCGGCGUGCCUAAUACAUGCAAGUCGAGCGAACAGACGAGGAGCUUGCUCCUCUGACGUUAGCGGCGGACGGGUGAGUAACACGUGGAUAGCCUACCUAUAAGACUGGGAUAACUUCGGGAAACCGGAGCUAAUACCGGAUAAUAUAUUGAACCGCAUGGUUCAAUAGUGAAAGACGGGUUUGCUGUCACUUAUAGAUGGAUCCGCGCCGCAUUAGCUAGUUGGUAAGGUAACGGCUUACCAAGGCAACGAUGCGUAGCCGACCUGAGAGGGUGAUCGGCCACACUGGAACUGAGACACGGUCCAGACUCCUACGGGAGGCAGCAGUAGGGAAUCUUCCGCAAUGGGCGAAAGCCUGACGGAGCAACGCCGCGUGAGUGAUGAAGGUCUUCGGAUCGUAAAACUCUGUUAUUAGGGAAGAACAAAUGUGUAAGUAACUAUGCACGUCUUGACGGUACCUAACCAGAAAGCCACGGCUAACUACGUGCCAGCCGCCGCGGUAA
This 513-nucleotide ribosomal RNA is filed under the name uncultured bacterium. Its description in RNAcentral is "partial 16S ribosomal RNA". It matches the Rfam family "Bacterial small subunit ribosomal RNA", at positions 28 to 523 of the family's 1533-position model. The record is from RNAcentral.